This 2565-nucleotide long non-coding RNA is filed under the name Homo sapiens (human). RNAcentral describes it as "HSALNT0337077". The record is from RNAcentral. Lineage: Eukaryota; Metazoa; Chordata; Mammalia; Primates; Hominidae.
AGAUAGAGUGAGACCAGAGAGAAGAAGUGGCCCAGGAAGUCAUAACCUCCUGUUCCUGACUUGGACUUUCUGUAAGUGUGAUUCCCAACCUGGUUACUCAUCAGAAUCAUACAAGGAACAUUAGAAAAGGUAGGGUUUUAGCCUCAUCUGAGGCCUAUUGAAUCAAAAUCUCCUGAAGAAUAUAAUAUUCAUAUCAUAUAUAUACUAUAUGUAUAUAUAUAUACUAUAUAUAUACUAUAUGUAUAUAUAUAUACUAUAUAUAUACUAUAUGUAUAUAUAUAUACUAUAUAUAUACUAUAUGUGUAUAUAUAUACUAUAUAUAUACUAUAUGUGUAUAUAUAUACUAUAUAUAUACUAUAUGUGUAUAUAUAUACUAUAUAUACUAUAUGUAUAUAUAUACAUAUAUAUGUAUAGAUGUAUAUAUACAUAUAUAUGUAUAUAUAUAUGUGUAUAUAUAUAUAUAUAUACUUUAAGUCUUUAAGUUCUGGGGUACAUGUGCAGAACGUGCAGGUUUGUUACAUAGGUAUGCACGUGCCAUGGUGGUUUGCUGCAGCCAUCAACCCUGUCAUCUACAUUAGUUAUUUCUCCUAAUGUCUUCCCUCCCCCAGCCCCCAACCCGCCGACAGGCUUCAGUGUGUGAUGCCCCUACCCCGUGUCCAUGUAUUCUCAUUGUUCAACUCCCACUUAUGAGUGAGGACAUGUGGUGUUUGGUUUUCUGUUCUUAUGUUAGUUUGCUGAGAAUGACGGUUUCCAGCUUCAUCCAUGUCCCUGCAGAGGGACAUGGCUGCAUAGUAUUCCAAAAGCCCUUCCUCAUUAUUCUGAUGCAGGCACUGGUCUGUAGGGUUUGAAAAGCAUUGCUUAGAGGACAAGGAGGUAGAAGGUGUCCUUAGGAUGAGAUGCUAAUGAGGGAGUGAACCUUAGAAAGGUGGAAAGACUCACACCAGUGGUCCCAUGGUUGGGUGAUGGUUAACAUCACAAAGAGAAGUAAAUUCCAGACCUGCAUCAUAGUACCCUGAGUAGAACUACCUCAACAAUCUAUCUGGUCAGAUACUUAGUACCUAGAUGUGGAGACCAUAUCUCACAGUUCUGUCAGGCAGGAGCAGUCCAAACACUUUGAUUAUCAGCUGUCUCUUGCUCGGGAAAUUACUAGGUACCAACACUGUUAUAUAUGCAGAGGUGUCUGAAAAAUGAAUGCAGAUCAAUUUCCAGUUCCACACAGAGCACAUCUGUAAAAUAUGACCUUUGGAUAAUGGCUGGAGUGUUUACCUGCAGUAUUCGUUUUUGCAUGUGGCUUUCCCUAGAUAUGUCAGGAUACAGCAGGACCAAAACCUAGCCUUUGUCCUAUGUCUGGAGACUUCUUGGAAGCUGGAGCACACAAAUAGCUACAGCAAACUUGAGGAAUGGGCAUGAAUAGACUGGCUUCGGGGAACCUGCCAGCUUGGCCGUGUGGCCAAGGUAAUAGGCAAGCCAAGGCAGAGCUAGAGCUCAGAGCUGGAGGGGAAAUUAAAGCAGCAAAUGUAGAAACAUUAAGCCUGAAGAGGCGACGACGUUGAAUUCUAAAAUGCAGGCCAAAGCUCAGACUGCAAGCUGUCUGGCUGCUCCGGGUGUGCCCAGAAGUCAAAGUCCAGCAGGGGCAAAGGUGGAGGUGUGGUCCUGCACGUGGGGUGUUGGGGGGAUGUGGAAGAGGAGGUGCUUUAAGAUCCAGAGAUUCCAGCUGCCCUGGUGCACCCUUGGAAGAAUAAAAGGCUAGGAACUGGACAAGUCAGGCUCGAGUCCAAGCUGCCUGAGGAAUCGGGGAAAGAAUGGAGCUCAGAGUGGGAGGUCAGGGCAGUAUUUAAAAAUCCAGGAUAGCAGCAAAGCUGGCGGUGGCCCCUGACUCUGGUAAGGGCAGCCUGCAGCACCAUGCCAAGGGGGGCCUGACUGAUCAUGCCCUGCAUUUGCAAACAAGGAUUAGUAGGGUAUGAGUAGGAUUCUGCUGGUGCCUGGGAAGGCAGUGCCAUCUACAACUUUACAAAGUUUUAACAAAGGCCUGAAGGACACAACCUUCCCCAAAGUCCUGACGUCGCUGUUUGCUGGCAACAAAUAGAGUCAAAAGAAGAGAGGCACAGAAUGUGCCAGGGGUGUGCUGCGUACAGCCCCGAUGACCACAAGGCCUUCUUGGGUCAAGUUCUGCCAUCUCUGGUUAAGAUGGGCUCACCCUCUAGGACCCUGAUUGAGUCCUCGGACCACCAAGAGUGCCCCACCAAGAGCCUCCCUCUUCUGGUGACUCGUGCCUGCUUCCCGUGGAGAGCUCCAGAAGGGAGGAAACUGUGAGGAGGUGGAGAACGUGGCAGGGAUCCUAACUUUCUUACUGAAGGAAGUUCUUCACAAGUACCCAUCUGCCUUCAGGGAAGAAAACAUAACUCAUUUUGGUCUUUCAAAUUCAGUUCUCAAAACCAAAUCCUGUUGUCAGCAAUCUGUGUCCCAACGCCUUCUUCAGCAACAGCAUUUUCCCUGUGGAAUUAGUUUCCAAUGUUCUUUCUUAAAUAAACCACUGAAGAUUAAAAGGAAUCCAGAUACCCACCA